Long non-coding RNA from Piliocolobus tephrosceles (Ugandan red Colobus), 1119 nucleotides. RefSeq lists it as uncharacterized. The record is from RefSeq and is a predicted model, not a curated record. The transcript is spliced from 2 exons. Lineage: Eukaryota; Metazoa; Chordata; Mammalia; Primates; Cercopithecidae.
CUGCUGCCUUGUGAAGAAAGUGCUUGCUUCUCCUUACGCCAUGAUUAUGAGUUUCCUGAGGCCUUCCCAGCUUGCAGAACUGAAAAGAAGAGGAGGGCUCCUCUGAGACCUAAUAGGAUGCAUUUCCCAGCUGAGCCCAGGUGUGCGCUGCUCAUGGGGCAUCCUGAGGGUGCGGGGAGGGUUUGAAGGGCAAAUGUGUCAGUGCGCUUCUGGGACUCCGCUCCAAGCCAGACACCCAAAGGCAGGGCUGGGGACUCAGACUACCCAUGAGGAUGAAGCCCAGCUGGGAAAUCCAGGUGCUUCACCUCCUCAGAACUCCUUCCAGGGACGCGGGGACAAGGCGAUGCAGCCCCCUUCCCGUUGUCUGGACUCCAGCAGGUGCAGAGUGAGCACGCUGGUUGGAAGUGCUUGACAGCAAGCUGUCGCCUGGGCUUCUCUUCCAGGGGCCCGGCAGUGCCCCAACCCUCCAGCAGGCGCCUGGACCCAUUGCCAAAAUCAGGGGAACUCCUUUUCCUGGGUGGGCCUUUUUUCUUUCCCAGUGAACCAUGAGGUGAAAACUUUAGGACUCUACGAACUGAGACCAGUCAAGGCUCCUUAUGGUUUUGUCUUCACUGCCCUUGAUUUUCAGUCCAAAGCCAUUUUCAAGGACAACUGGCCAUGGCCCCCACUGGCUCAGCGUUCUGCCUGACGGAGAGCUGCCUUCAGCAGCAGAUCUCAAUUGCCCACCUUUUGGAGGUGGACCAAGGAGUCUUGCCUGCAACCAAAUGAUAACCUCAAAGUGGACCAGGUGUUUUCUUUACCCUGUUUAUAACCUGGGGCGUAAAUGAUUGGCAGUGGAAGGUUAAGCCGUUCCUCCUGCGAUGAAUUGGGGCCGGUUAAAUGGACUGAUCUGUUUCUGUUCAUCCAUAGUAACGUCAUGCAGCCUCCCAGCAACAUAUUUGAAUAAGAGUUUUGUAAUCAUCACAUGUAAAAUCUUUCUGUUGGAAAAAGGCACCCAUAUACCUUGGUAGAAUAUAUUUGUUAAUUGCUAUUUGUUAGCUUCCUCUUUUCUUCAAAAUAGAGGGGAAAUGAUUACUUUGAUAAUGGGUAGAGGGGUUUCAGGCUUAAAAAGAAGAACUU